RNAcentral lists this ribosomal RNA (572 nucleotides) under uncultured bacterium. RNAcentral's name for it is "bacterial SSU rRNA". It matches the Rfam family "Bacterial small subunit ribosomal RNA", at positions 338 to 916 of the family's 1533-position model. The record is from RNAcentral.
CCUACGGGAGGCAGCAGUAGGGAAUAUUGGGCAAUGGAGGCAACUCUGACCCAGCCAUGCCGCGUGCAGGAAGAAGGCGUUAUGCGUUGUAAACUGCUUUUAUAUAGGAAGAAAUAGUCCUUGCGAGGAAAGUUGACGGUACUAUAUGAAUAAGCACCGGCUAACUCCGUGCCAGCAGCCGCGGUAAUACGGAGGGUGCAAGCGUUGUCCGGAUUUAUUGGGUUUAAAGGGUGCGUAGGCGGUUUAUUAAGUCAGUGGUGAAAGACGGUCGCUCAACGAUUGCAGUGCCAUUGAUACUGGUAGACUUGAGUGGGAUUGAGGUAGCUGGAAUGGAUAGUGUAGCGGUGAAAUGCAUAGAUAUUAUCCAGAACACCAAUUGCGUAGGCAAGUUACUAAGUCUCAACUGACGCUGAGGCACGAAAGUGUGGGUAUCAAACAGGAUUAGAUACCCUGGUAGUCCACACUGUAAACGAUGAUAACUAACUGUUGGCUUCGGGUCAGUGGUACAGAGAAAUCGUUAAGUUAUCCACCUGGGGAGUACGCCGGCAACGGUGAACUCAAGGAAUUGACGG